GAGUUUGAUCUUGGCUCAGGAUGAACGCUGGCGGCGUGCCUAAUACAUGCAAGUCGAGCGAACAGACGAGGAGCUUGCUCCUCUGACGUUAGCGGCGGACGGGUGAGUAACACGUGGAUAACCUACCUAUAAGACUGGGAUAACUUCGGGAAACCGGAGCUAAUACCGAAUAAUAUAUUGAACCGCAUGGUUCAAUAGUGAAAAACGGUUUUGCUGUCACUUAUAGAUGGAUCCGCGCCGCAUUAGCUAGUUGGUAGGGUAACGGCUUACCAAGGCGACGAUGCGUAGCCGACCUGAGAGGGUGAUCGGCCACACUGGAACUGAGACACGGUCCAGACUCCUACGGGAGGCAGCAGUAGGGAAUCUUCCGCAAUGGGCGAAAGCCUGACGGAGCAACGCCGCGUGAGUGAUGAAGGUCUUCGGAUCGUAAAACUCUGUUAUUAGGGAAGAACAAAUGUGUAAGUAACUAUGCACGUCUUGACGGUACCUAAUCAGAAAGCCACGGCUAACUACGUGCCAGCAC
RNAcentral lists this ribosomal RNA (523 nucleotides) under uncultured microorganism. Its description in RNAcentral is "bacterial SSU rRNA". It matches the Rfam family "Bacterial small subunit ribosomal RNA", at positions 9 to 514 of the family's 1533-position model. The record is from RNAcentral.